CCUACGGGGGGCUGCAGUGGGGAAUAUUGGACAAUGGGGGGAACCCUGAUCCAGCCAUGCCGCGUGUGUGAAGAAGGCCCUCGGGUUGUAAAGCACUUUCAGUGAGGAAGAACGCCUGGUGGUUAAUACCCAUCAGGAAAGACAUCACUCACAGAAGAAGCACCGGCUAACUCCGUGCCAGCAGCCGCGGUAAUACGGAGGGUGCGAGCGUUAAUCGGAAUUACUGGGCGUAAAGCGCGCGUAGGUGGCUUGAUAAGCCGGUUGUGAAAGCCCCGGGCUCAACCUGGGAACGGCAUCCGGAACUGUCAAGCUAGAGUGCAGGAGAGGAAGGUAGAAUUCCCGGUGUAGCGGUGAAAUGCGUAGAGAUCGGGAGGAAUACCAGUGGCGAAGGCGGCCUUCUGGGCUGACACUGACACUGAGGUGCGAAAGCGUGGGUAGCAAACAGGAUUAGAUACCCGUGUAGUC
RNAcentral lists this ribosomal RNA (465 nucleotides) under Vreelandella stevensii. RNAcentral's name for it is "partial 16S ribosomal RNA". It matches the Rfam family "Bacterial small subunit ribosomal RNA", at positions 338 to 795 of the family's 1533-position model. The record is from RNAcentral. Lineage: Bacteria; Pseudomonadati; Pseudomonadota; Gammaproteobacteria; Oceanospirillales; Halomonadaceae.